AUGGCAGCUCACCAGAGUAACCUGGCACAUGAUAGGCCCCGUGGACCCAGCACCAGACCAGACGUGUGGUUACAGCUUCAGUCAGCAGAGGGAGUGUGGACACCUCUGUUGAAGGACACACAGGGUUACCCGUGACAGCUUGAGAACAGACUCUACGAGACUUCUUUUGUCUCCAGAAAAGGAGCCCAAGAAUUACCAGGCUGUAGCACUCUGGAUUCUUCACAGUCUGCAGAGCAUGGAUUUUGAAAUGUCAUGAGGAAGAGCUGCAGUAAUCAAAACAGGAAGUGCUCAAAGCAUAAAGAAUGAUUUUAGCGAAAAAUUAAGGUAAGGGUGCACUCUAGCUGCAUUGUAGAGCUUCAGUGAUAGAGAAAGUGAGGAAAAUCAGACAAAAAGAUGGUUGUGGUUAUUCAGACGUGUCUGCAUAUGGGUGAAUUUUUCUCCAAAGGUUUGGUGUGUUUCUGCACAACUAUACUGUGAAAAACAGGACUCAUCCUCUUCAGAUUGGUUUUAGUGGCUGCAUACCAAUUUGGGAUUUAAAUGCUGAAUUGGUAGAUGAUAUUAAGCAUAACACCAAAAUAAGCAUUCAGAACUUUCAUUGUCCCAAGGGAAAAUUGCUUGUGAAUCUUUUCUUGGUCUGACAGAGCAUGAAAGGAAAUGGUCCUGAAUUACUGGGUGACGCUGGAUUAGUUCUUUUUUUAGGGGGUUAAACUCUAGUUAAACCCAGGUGCUGUAUGAAAUGGGGAUUGUUCUUACCUAGCUGGCAU
Molecule: long non-coding RNA, 764 nt
Filed under: Dromaius novaehollandiae (emu)
Lineage: Eukaryota; Metazoa; Chordata; Aves; Casuariiformes; Dromaiidae
Description: lncRNA (ENSDNVG00000006340.1)
Source: RNAcentral